GGGCGAUUAGCUCAGCCUUGGUUAGAGCGCCGCCCUUACAAGGCGGAGGUCACUGGUUCGACUCCAGUAUCGCCCACCC
Molecule: transfer RNA, 79 nt
Filed under: Bacteroidota bacterium
Lineage: Bacteria; Pseudomonadati; Bacteroidota
Description: Bacteroidetes bacterium (marine metagenome) tRNA-Val
Rfam family: tRNA
About the family: Transfer RNA (tRNA) molecules are approximately 80 nucleotides in length.
Source: RNAcentral